Non-coding RNA from Oryza glumipatula, 205 nucleotides. The record is from Rfam. NCBI's taxonomy places the organism in Eukaryota, Viridiplantae, Streptophyta, Magnoliopsida, Poales, Poaceae.
UUUAAGUGCAACCAUAAAGUUUUCGCGCCUAAUUUUAAUCGUCCGUCUUAUUUAAAAUUUUUUUAUAAUUAGUAUUUUUAUUGCUAUGAGAUGAUGAAACAUAAAUAAUACUUUACUUGUGACUUAUAUUUUUAAAUUUUUUUAAAAUUUUUUAAAUAAGACAAACGGUUAAAGUUGGGCGCGGAAAACCAUGGCGACGGAGAGA